RNAcentral lists this unclassified non-coding RNA (562 nucleotides) under Hevea brasiliensis (rubber tree). Lineage: Eukaryota; Viridiplantae; Streptophyta; Magnoliopsida; Malpighiales; Euphorbiaceae. The record is from RNAcentral.
GCAGACCUAUUACCAAUGGAGCUGGUAUGCUAGACAUUCUAAAUUGGUUUGUGAAUGCGUGCUGAGAGUUGAUGCUACUUCUCUAAAUUUGUCAAAUUGUAUGGAAAAUGAUCCAUAUAAUUGGUCCUUACUAGAUUGAAAGUAUGGUUUAGUUGAAUGACAUAGAGACUUUGAGUGUGUUGAGUAAACUUCUAAUAGUUGGCUAGUUUGGCCUCUAACAAGUUUUCUAAAACCUCUUUGAGCUGCUUAGACGGUGCCCUGGCUGCUAGGAAAGAGUUGCCUUGUAUGUCACAAACAGUCAAACACUACAGAAUAUCCUGGGAUUCUUUGAGAUGUCUAGAAGACAGAAUUAACAAUUAUUACCUAAUUUUCAUUGAAAUUAUUUUGGUAUUCAAGCUUGUUUCCUGUUGCAUGAAUCAGUUCUGAAUAUUGUUAUUGGCUUGGAUUCUUUUGCUUGUACGGAUUGAUUGGUGGGGAUGUUUUUUGGUGCCCAAGUUUUAACUAUUUGUUGAUCAUAACAAAAUAAGGUUAUAAUGCUGAAUGUAACAUGGUUUACUUGGCA